RNA transcript from Anoplophora glabripennis (Asian longhorned beetle), 4661 nucleotides. RefSeq lists it as uncharacterized. Lineage: Eukaryota; Metazoa; Arthropoda; Insecta; Coleoptera; Cerambycidae. The transcript is spliced from 2 exons. The record is from RefSeq and is a predicted model, not a curated record.
UAGCACAAUAUAUUGGCUGUUCAUUGUUUUUAUAUUGGCACAAUAUCGAAUCAUUUCUAUUGAUAAAACAAUAUUGUGUCAAUAUUGGCUUAAUAUUGUUCUUUGUUUUAUAAAUGUAAUGUUGGUGAGAAAUAUUGUACCAAUAUCGGUCAGCUAGUUUUAGCCAUUAUUGUUAUUUAUCAAUGUUGGCCCAUUAUUACUAUUUACAAUAUUUUAUUACAAGAUUGGCCCUAUACAUUAUUUAUAUUGCGGUUAUAAUAUUGGCAUUCACACUGGUUAUUCACUAUUGGGCCCAUAUUUCCAACAAAUAUUGGGUCAAUCUAGGAAUGCAUCUCUAUUACAAUAAAAAAGAUAACAUCAUUUUAUUAUAAAUUAUCUAAGUAAUAUACACCUAUUUUCUAGGGACUGUAAAGCAAAUGCAUUACCAGAGUGAACUGUGUUGUGUUGGUGGUCUGUGAGUGAACCCUAGAAUGCCAUAUGCCAUGGGAAAUAAUAAUAAAUAAUAGCCAUACUCGUAUAUUCCUUCCCAUGAUACUAAGUCGUCUUAGUAUAAUGAUUCCUCCCUCAUCACAAGCUCUUUAUAUGAGGCUCUUCAGAGGCUAAUUAUUAUUCUUUAUUAUACUUUUCCAAAUACGAUACGAGGAGUGUAACAUUUACUUUAAAAUAUGAAAAUAUUCAAAUAAAGGCGCUACAAUAAUUAUUCAAGUGGCGACUCUCUGCGGCCGUGCGGUCGCGAGUUCCUUGUAGAUCUUGUGUGCUGUUGCCAACUCAUACGUAAAAUAUUGUAGUUGCAGAUAAUGAUGGUUUAAGUUUGAGGAGCAAAUCUCACGUAAAAUAGUUAUAGCAAAUUUUAUUGUUGUAAACUAUUUUAAAUAAACACAUCAAUACUCCUAAAUCACUAAAAACUGGAUAAACCUUAUUUUUUGUUAAAUCAAAUAAAAAUAGUCAAAUCAGUUGUAAUUUCUAGAUCUGAAAUUGCAGUCUGGCAACGCGGCGUCAGCAGUUGGAUGUAACGUGCUGUACUGCUGUACCGGCAUUUUCAUAACCUAAGCAUAUAAACGGCUUUGUAUAAAUGAUUUUGCAUUUUACAUUAAGUAAAUUAUAACAAAUAAUGCUACUCGAUUGGUUAUUCAGCUAUUAAAUUAAAAGUGGGUACCUAGUAGAAGAAAUGGUAUAUUUUGUGCUGUGUGUUGGGUAAGUAUAAAGUGCAUUAAGUAUCGUGAAAUUUUUGUAGGUAGACUGAAGAACUGGAAGAAGUGGCUAUUAAACGAUAUUUUUAUUAUACCUAUUACUUAUCAAUACGAGGCCUUCAAGUUGUUUAAAUAUACAGGGUGUCUAAACAAUCAAAGUAAGUAAUUAUUUUUUUGUUCUUGGUAACAUGGCAAUAGUUUAUAUGGCAAGAUAUUAGAUAGUCGAGUAAACCUUUCAAUAUUAUCGAUCGAUAGAAGCUGGUGCAUGUUGUACGUAAAUGUCAUUUAAAUAAACCAGAACUUUUAAUUUUUAGGAACUAUGUCAAAAAAGUCCAGAAAGUAUAUGUAUGUUAAAAGAUUUCUUGAAAAUAAAGAUGAGGAAUUAGAUAGUGAAAGUGCUGAUUGCAGUUUACCUUUAUCAAAUCACACACCUGCUAACAGCGAUGUGAAUGCACUAAAUAUUGAUGAUGCCUUUAGUGAUAGUGCUCUUAGUUUUAAUUCUGAAAACUCUAAAACGAGCAAUACUGAAACUUUAGAAUUAGAUUAUAAUUGCAAAUCGAAUAUGUUACAUAAUCUGAAUCAAAAUUGUGUGGAAGAAAAUCUCUCUACUGCUUUUAAACCUAAUUUUCUAUCAAUAAAAGAUGAUCUAAAAUGCUGGGCACUCACUGUAAAUGUAAAUCAUACCCAAUUAAACAGUUUGCUUAGAAUUUUGAAACCACACCAUCCUGAUUUACCUUUAGAUAGUCGAACCAUUUUGGGAACAGAACGUUCAUUGAAUAUUACCCCAAUGCAAUCACAAAAUGGUACAAAUGGAGAAUAUAUUUAUUUCGGUAUACAGCAAAAUUUAGAACAACAAUUAUUUAAUGGAAACUUGAACACUAUUCUUAAAGAACGAAAUAUUACUUCAAUUAAGUUAAAAUGUAACAUUGAUGGGUUGAAAAUACAUAAAAGUACCAACAUUGAUUUUUGGCCCAUUCUUGCUGCCGUGCAUAUGCCAAAUUUUAACUCUGAUCCUUUUGUGGUUGCAAUUUAUAUGGGCGAUAGUAAACCAAAAUUCUUAGAAAGCUUUCUUAAGGACUUUAUAGCAGAAAUUGAACAUCUUUCAGUAAUUGGCGUGACAGGUCCCGGUUCUCAAUCAUACACAUUUGGCCUUAAAUAUUUAAUAUGUGAUGCACCAGCUCGAGCCUUUUUAAAAAGCAUUAAAAGUCAUAAUGGUUAUUUUGCUUGUGAAAGGUGUAAUGCUAAAGGGACAAAAAUUAAUGGACGUUUCAUUUACAAAAUUUCGGAGAGAGAUGAAAAGAGAUCUCACCUAACCUUUAUAAACAAAACACAUGCUGGACACCAUGUAGGUGCAACUCCCUUAACCAGAUUAAAAAAUUUUGAUAUGGUGUUUGGCUUCCCGCUAGAUUACAUGCAUAUGGCAUGUUUAGGUGUAAUGCGACGCCUUUUAAAUUUUUGGUUCAAAUCGGACUCACAGUUUAGAAUUACACCAGCUUUUCGACGAGAAGCUUCCGUACGAAUAAUACAAAUUGCUUCGCAUACACCUAGAGAAUUUGGUAGGCGUCCGAGAUCAUUUUCUGAACUGGAUCGUUGGAAAGCAACAGAAUUCCGCUUUGUUUUAUUAUAUAUAGGAGUAUAUAUAUUGAAAGAUAUUUUGUCACCGAAAAGGUACAAACACUUUCUUCAUUUUGUAUGUGCAAUGAGAAUUAUAUGUUCCAGAGAUUUUUCUAGACCCUUAGGUAAUAUAGCGGUAACUUCUAUUGACAAAUUCUGUAAAGAAAUUUGUAAUGUAUAUGACCAAGAUAUGGAACCGAUAUUUAAUACUCACAGUAUCAGACAUUUAGUUCAGGAUGCUGUUGAACGAAAUGAGAACCCGGAGGAUGUAAAUUGUUUUAUGUUUGAAAAUUACUUAGGUCGUUUAAAGAAAAUGAUCCGUACACCUAACAAACCACUUUCACAAGUGUGCAAACGACUUACAGAAAAAAAUAACAGUACAAAAUUGUUAAAAAAUUAUAACAGUAGAGAAUUUUCCGUUGUUUAUGAAAAACUUGGAGAUAUUAUUAAAGCCAUCAACUAUAAAAACGUGUAUAUUGCAACUAAACCUAAGAAGGAAUCAUAUAUUUUACUCUCGAGCAAAAAAAUAAUGUCGGUGAACAAAAUUGCCAAAGAUGAUAAAAAUAACAUUUUACUGUAUGGCCCAGUAUUCCAAGUCACUGAAAAUAUAUUUACACUUUCCACGUUAUUAUCCUCAGAUAUAUACAUGUACCAAGUUAGGAAUUUAAGCAACUUUCAAUUUUCUGCUACCCUUAAUGACAUCAUUACAAAGUGUAUUGUUUUUCCUCUUGCCGACUCUAACAAUAUGGGUGCUGUGGGGAUGUUACAUGUAAAUUAUUAAAUAUUGUAUUGUUAUUUUUUACAUGAUUAAUAAAGUUCAUUAGAAUCUUAAAUUAAAGAGUUUGUUUCUUUAGUUACAGUUUAUGGAAAAAUAUUUUUUAUAGGAUUUUGCAAACAUCAGGAAGAAAUGCAUAUGACUUAUUAUCGUUGACUAAUUAGUAUUACACUAAUAUCUAUAGAUAGUAAAACAACUUAAUACUUUCCAUUUAUUAAUUAAGUAGUCAACGAUAAUACAUCAUUUGGAUUUCUUCCUCGAUGUUUACAAAAUCCUAUUAAAAAUAUUUAUCUAUAACCUGAAACAAACAAUGAUAUUUUUGAAAAAUUUACAGUUUGUGAUUUACAGACACUAUAAAAACGAGAAAUAUGUUAAUAUGGUAUGAAAUAUGGUAUAUAUGAAAUAUGUAUGUAAUUUAUAUCUUCCACAAUCGUGUCUUUCAGAGUCGUCAUUAUGGCAAGCUGGGAUAUAGUUUUCUUCUUAAGAGACAAUACUUCUGAAUAUGUUCCAACUUCAUGGGCAGUUGAUACAAAAAAAGAUUUUUACUUAUGGCCCAAGAAAUUGUCUGAAACUCAAAUCAAGAAGUUAAGGGACAAUUGUUCAGAACCAAGUCUAAAUAUUGAUUAUGAAGAAUGGGCUGGUAUUUGCAAGGCUACCGUAUAUAACCUAAAACAUGCUCAAAAUUUGGCAGAAAAGGCGGAAUAUACAUCUAAUUUAUCAUCAACAGCUGAGACUGUUGAGGGACUAGUAGAGGAUGAUGUGGACGAUGAAGGGGAUGAAUUAUUGUCGUCUGAUGAUAAUCUUGAGUCAGUACGAUGUAAGUUAAAGAAUAAAACAGGAAGGAAUGGCAACUAUUCCACAAGCCGAGUCUGUACUCCAUCUGAAUUUAAGGGUUCAUCUUCACAAAGAAAUUUAACUAGUUUUACCAAGCCAGCAGUAAGCAGAUCUUUAAUAAAUGGCUCUACGAAGACACCUUCUUCUGCUAGUAGAAAUUCUAAUGAAGGUAAUAUAUGAAAAUUCUUUUCAAUGCUUCAUAAACAUGAUUAGUUAUUUAUAUUUUAUUGGUGUAAACGUUUUAGAUG